RNAcentral lists this ribosomal RNA (1079 nucleotides) under Staphylococcus aureus. RNAcentral describes it as "bacterial SSU rRNA". It matches the Rfam family "Bacterial small subunit ribosomal RNA", at positions 44 to 1103 of the family's 1533-position model. Lineage: Bacteria; Bacillati; Bacillota; Bacilli; Caryophanales; Staphylococcaceae. The record is from RNAcentral.
GGUGCUAUACAUGCAAGUCGAGCGAACGGACGAGAAGCUUGCUUCUCUGAUGUUAGCGGCGGACGGGUGAGUAACACGUGGAUAACCUACCUAUAAGACUGGGAUAACUUCGGGAAACCGGAGCUAAUACCGGAUAAUAUUUUGAACCGCAUGGUUCAAAAGUGAAAGACGGUCUUGCUGUCACUUAUAGAUGGAUCCGCGCUGCAUUAGCUAGUUGGUAAGGUAACGGCUUACCAAGGCAACGAUGCAUAGCCGACCUGAGAGGGUGAUCGGCCACACUGGAACUGAGACACGGUCCAGACUCCUACGGGAGGCAGCAGUAGGGAAUCUUCCGCAAUGGGCGAAAGCCUGACGGAGCAACGCCGCGUGAGUGAUGAAGGUCUUCGGAUCGUAAAACUCUGUUAUUAGGGAAGAACAUAUGUGUAAGUAACUGUGCACAUCUUGACGGUACCUAAUCAGAAAGCCACGGCUAACUACGUGCCAGCAGCCGCGGUAAUACGUAGGUGGCAAGCGUUAUCCGGAAUUAUUGGGCGUAAAGCGCGCGUAGGCGGUUUUUUAAGUCUGAUGUGAAAGCCCACGGCUCAACCGUGGAGGGUCAUUGGAAACUGGAAAACUUGAGUGCAGAAGAGGAAAGUGGAAUUCCAUGUGUAGCGGUGAAAUGCGCAGAGAUAUGGAGGAACACCAGUGGCGAAGGCGACUUUCUGGUCUGUAACUGACGCUGAUGUGCGAAAGCGUGGGGAUCAAACAGGAUUAGAUACCCUGGUAGUCCACGCCGUAAACGAUGAGUGCUAAGUGUUAGGGGGUUUCCGCCCCUUAGUGCUGCAGCUAACGCAUUAAGCACUCCGCCUGGGGAGUACGACCGCAAGGUUGAAACUCAAAGGAAUUGACGGGGACCCGCACAAGCGGUGGAGCAUGUGGUUUAAUUCGAAGCAACGCGAAGAACCUUACCAAAUCUUGACAUCCUUUGACAACUCUAGAGAUAGAGCCUUCCCCUUCGGGGGACAAAGUGACAGGUGGUGCAUGGUUGUCGUCAGCUCGUGUCGUGAGAUGUUGGGUUAAGUCCCGCAACGAGCGCAACC